AAGAAUUUAAGUUAUUAAAACUAUUGACCUUCAAAGUCAAAUAAAGAAGCAUUUCUAAUUCUUA
This 64-nucleotide transfer RNA is filed under the name Cyclorhipidion bodoanum. RNAcentral's name for it is "tRNA-Trp". Lineage: Eukaryota; Metazoa; Arthropoda; Insecta; Coleoptera; Curculionidae. The record is from RNAcentral.